AGCAGCCGCGGUAAUUCCAGCUCCAAUAGCGUAUAUUAAAGUUGUUGCAGUUAAAAAGCUCGUAGUUGAAUUUCGGGAUUGACGUGACGGUCAUGCCUUAAGGGGUAUGAACUGUUACAGUUGAUUUCUCACCUUCUGGAGAAACUUGAUGUCCUUUAUUGGGUGUCUUGCGGAUCCAGGACCUUUACCUUGAAAAAUUAGAGUGUUUAAAGCAGGCAUUUUUGCUCGAAUACAUUAGCAUGGAAUAAUAGAAUAGGACGGCAUGGUUCUAUUUUGUUGGUUUCCAGGAUCACCGUAAUGAUUAAUAGGGAUAGUUGGGGGCAUUAGUAUUCAAUUGUCAGAGGUGAAAUUCUUGGAUUUAUUGAAGACUAACUACUGCGAAAGCAUUUGCCAAGGAUGUUUUCAUUAAUCAAGAACGAAAGUUAGGGGGUCGAAGACGAUCAGAUACCGUCGUAGUCUUAACCAUAAACUAUGCCGACUAGGAAUCAGACGAUGUUAAUUUUUAAUGUACUCG
RNAcentral lists this ribosomal RNA (514 nucleotides) under uncultured Entrophosporaceae. Its description in RNAcentral is "SSU rRNA". It matches the Rfam family "Eukaryotic small subunit ribosomal RNA", at positions 569 to 1078 of the family's 1831-position model. The record is from RNAcentral. Lineage: Eukaryota; Fungi; Glomeromycota; Glomeromycetes; Entrophosporales; Entrophosporaceae.